Molecule: ribosomal RNA, 253 nt
Filed under: uncultured bacterium
Lineage: Bacteria
Description: partial 16S ribosomal RNA
Rfam family: Bacterial small subunit ribosomal RNA
Source: RNAcentral
UACAGAGGGGGCAAGCGUUGUUCGGAAUUACUGGGCGUAAAGGGCGCGUAGGCGGCCUUCUAAGUCGAACGUGAAAUCCCCGGGCUCAGCCCGGGAACUGCGUCCGAUACUGGAAGGCUUGAAUCCGGGAGAGGGAUGCGGAAUUCCAGGUGUAGCGGUGAAAUGCGUAGAUAUCUGGAGGAACACCGGUGGCGAAGGCGGCAUCCUGGACCGGCAUUGACGCUGAGGCGCGAAAGCCAGGGGAGCAAACGGG